UACGUAGGGAGCAAGCGUUGUCCGGAAUCAUUGGGCGUAAAGCGCGCGUAGGUGGCCUCAUAAGUCCGCUGUGAAAGUCAAAGGCUCAACCUUUGAAAGCCCGGUGGAUACUGUGAGGCUAGAGUACGGAAGAGGCGAGUGGAAUUCCUGGUGUAGCGGUGGAAUGCGCAGAUAUCAGGAGGAACACCAAUAGCGAAGGCAGCUCGCUGGGACGUUACUGACACUGAGGCGCGAAAGCGUGGGGAGCGAACAGG
Molecule: ribosomal RNA, 254 nt
Filed under: uncultured bacterium
Lineage: Bacteria
Description: partial 16S ribosomal RNA
Rfam family: Bacterial small subunit ribosomal RNA
Source: RNAcentral